GACUUCAUAGCUCAGUUGCUUAGAGCGUCGCACUGGUAUAACGAGUUCAAACCCCGUUGAAGUCC
Molecule: transfer RNA, 65 nt
Filed under: Acropora cervicornis
Lineage: Eukaryota; Metazoa; Cnidaria; Anthozoa; Scleractinia; Acroporidae
Description: tRNA-OTHER
Rfam family: tRNA
About the family: Transfer RNA (tRNA) molecules are approximately 80 nucleotides in length. Their secondary structure includes four short double-helical elements and three loops (D, anti-codon, and T loops).
Source: RNAcentral